RNAcentral lists this ribosomal RNA (867 nucleotides) under Fuscoporia contigua. RNAcentral's name for it is "eukaryotic LSU rRNA". It matches the Rfam family "Eukaryotic large subunit ribosomal RNA", at positions 66 to 915 of the family's 3401-position model. The record is from RNAcentral. Lineage: Eukaryota; Fungi; Basidiomycota; Agaricomycetes; Hymenochaetales; Hymenochaetaceae.
UAACAAGGAUUCCCCUAGUAACUGCGAGUGAAGCGGGAAAAGCUCAAAUUUAAAAUCUGGCGGCUUUGCUGCCCGAGUUGUAAUCUGGAGAAGCGUUUUCCGUGCUGGACCGUGUACAAGUCUCUUGGAACAGAGCGUCAUAGAGGGUGAGAAUCCCGUCCAUGACACGGACUCCCAGUGCUUUGUGAUACGCUCUCGAAGAGUCGAGUUGUUUGGGAAUGCAGCUCAAAAUGGGUGGUAAAUUCCAUCUAAAGCUAAAUAUUGGCGAGAGACCGAUAGCGAACAAGUACCGUGAGGGAAAGAUGAAAAGCACUUUGGAAAGAGAGUUAAACAGUACGUGAAAUUGUUGAAAGGGAAACGCUUGAAGUCAGUCGCGUCGUCCACAACUCAGCCUUGCCUCGGCUUGGUGCAUUUUGUGCAUGACGGGUCAACAUCGAUUUGGACCGACGGACAAAGCGUGAGGGAAUGUGGCACUCCUCGGAGUGUGUUAUAGCCCUUACGCAUAUACGCCGGUCGGGAUCGAGGACCGCAGCGCGCCCUUGUGGCCGGAGGUUCGCCUCACGUUUCGCGCUUAGGAUGUUGGCAAAAUGGCUUUAAGCGACCCGUCUUGAAACACGGACCAAGGAGUCUAACAUGCUCGCGAGUGUUAGGGUGGAAAACCCUUGCGCAUAAUGAAAGUAAAAGUUGAGAGCCUCCGCAAGGGGGUGCAUCGACGCCCGGCCCUGAAGUUUACGGACGGUGCUGCGGUUGAGCGCGUAUGUUGGGACCCGAAAGAUGGUGAACUAUGCCUGAAUAGGGCGAAGCCAGAGGAAACUCUGGUGGAGGCUCGUAGCGAUUCUGACGUGCAAAUCGAUCGUCAAAUUUGGG